RNAcentral lists this long non-coding RNA (1790 nucleotides) under Zea mays. Its description in RNAcentral is "drought-responsive long non-coding RNA". Lineage: Eukaryota; Viridiplantae; Streptophyta; Magnoliopsida; Poales; Poaceae. The record is from RNAcentral.
AAAAAUACAAAUGCCCUAGAGCUAGCUUCGGAGAUUGGCCAAAGUCCAUCAUAAUCCACUGCCGGAUCGAGAGGAGACCCGAGACCCCUAGAAAGAAGACCAGCAAGCAGGUCGCGCGAGCCCAAUAGACCACCAAGGGAGAUGUGCGCGCGGCCGGCUACUAGUGAGAUGUGCCUCCAUCAUAGCACACCAUGUGAUGCGGGAGGAGCCUGCUGUUCCGCCUCUCAUCCCCCUACUUCUUCCAAGAUGCAAUCAUGCUGCCCCAAGCUCCUCGGGCCCUCGGCCGCCAUGAUUGCCUCACCGCCUCUCAAGAGUCGCCUCCACCUACUUCCAAGAGGAAGAGGCCGGAGAAGCUAUAGUCCGUGAAGAAAUCAAGCGGAGGGGCGGCGGUGUAGGAGGGGCCGGCGGAGGAGAGAGAGGGCCGGGGGAGGUGACAGAAAGCUAGAGAGAGAUGCAUGAUGGAGCAUGAUGAUGGCGUGGUUGAUCUCUUCGAUCUAGCACUUCUAUCAUUCGAGUCAAGAAGCCAUCAUCAGAUCGGUGCAGUCCUCCCUCCUCCUCCUCCUCCUCCUCCUUCCAGCUCCUCUUUAUCAGCUUCUCUGUAACGCUGCGCCGCCAUGGCUUUGGGGGAAUCAAGCGCCUUGGUCCGAAGAAAUCCGUCUUCUUUUCCUAGCUAGGAUCUACGUACUUGUGCAAGAGUAUGUCAUGCAUGCUACGCUAUAUGUUAUUCCUACAUGUUCUUGGUCGAUCUGUCGCUACAUAUGGUUUGUGCAGACAUCAAUACUCGUCUGUCUUUGAUUGAUUUGUUUUGACACCACUCUUUGAUCCGGAGUUUGGUUCAUGUAAUACUAUUUCAUUAGAUAUGUGGAUUUCUUCUUUGAGCUGAGCGUUUGACGCUGUGUGUGUGUGUUUCAUGAUUGAUUCAUGAUCCGAAUAUAUACGGCCCAUAACUAUCCCAGCUAGCUGUUUUCUAGAGAGAUAUGAUCUAAUAGUAUUUAGAUCAGAAGAACAACAUGAAAUACACAUAUAUGUGCAUCUUCUAGCUUCGAUCCCAUAUAUGUACCUUUCCCUGAUCUCUUCUUAUGAUCGAAACGUGUGCUCUAGUUCUAAGAAGUUGUGAGUUUAGCUUUGCCUUAAUACGUGUAUUUUAGUUUUGUCAGGAAAAGAAGAAGCAAAGCUAAAGAUUCAUUACAUGAUACUAGUACUCUAUAUACUGCAUGCAAAUGCAACACAUUAAACUAAAGCCCAACCGUAUUCACGAAUCACGAGCUUGAGUAAGACCAGCAGCCUGCUAAAGAUUCUUUGACUGCCACAAAUCUCUCUUGGGCAUUGCAUAUACUAGCUAGUAUCUAUGAGAGGUUCCAGGUGCGGCUGGUGCCAAGCUAGAGCUACCCCUGCUACUGCUAGCAUGCCAUGGCAUCGUAUUGGCCAGUUAGCUGAGGCAGUCCUUCUAGCGUCACAUGCAUGCACACCUCUUUAUUCCAGUCUUCCUUUUCCUACGCAACAACCCCCAAUGUGAGGAUUAUGUUUACUGAUAAAGUUGAAAAGUAUCGAAGAGUAGCAAUAUGCGUCAUCUAUAUUGUAUUAUGCAUAUAUUAUCUGUCAUUUCAUUGUUAUGGAUUCAUGUAUCAAAUAAAUUCUUGUUCAGUUAAUGUUUCCUGAAAAAUGUUGUCCAGUUUAUGAGCCGGGGGCUUCAUCGUUUUCAUCUACUUGUUGAGCUACUGCCUAAUGGUACCUAGCUCCUUAGUAUACAUUGGAAAAAUGUUUUUUUAUUUUGUACUCUCUUUAUCUUA